This 399-nucleotide ribosomal RNA is filed under the name uncultured bacterium. RNAcentral describes it as "partial 16S ribosomal RNA". It matches the Rfam family "Bacterial small subunit ribosomal RNA", at positions 360 to 776 of the family's 1533-position model. The record is from RNAcentral.
AAUAUUGCGCAAUGGGGGAAACCCUGACGCAGCAACGCCGCGUGAGCGAUGAAGGCCUUCGGGUCGUAAAUCUCUGUCUUCUCUGACGAUAAUGACGGUAAGAGACGAGGAAUCCACGCCUAACUACGUGCCAGCAGCCGCGGUAAUACGUAGGUGGCGAGCGUUGUCCGGAAUUACUGGGCGUAAAGGGUGCGUAGGCGGAAUCUUAGGUCAGAUGUGAAAAUCCCAGGCUCAACCUGGGAACUGCAUUUGAAACUGGGGUUCUAGAGUGCAGGAGAGGAAAGCGGAAUUCCUAGUGUAGCGGUGAAAUGCGUAGAUAUUAGGAAGAACACCAGUGGCGAAGGCGGCUUUCUGGACUGUAACUGACGCUGAGGCACGAAAGCGUGGGGAGCAAACAGG